RNAcentral lists this ribosomal RNA (497 nucleotides) under uncultured bacterium. RNAcentral describes it as "partial 16S ribosomal RNA". It matches the Rfam family "Bacterial small subunit ribosomal RNA", at positions 28 to 507 of the family's 1533-position model. The record is from RNAcentral.
GAUGAACGCUGGCGGCGUGCCUAAUACAUGCAAGUCGAGCGAACGGACGAGAAGCUUGCUUCUCUGAUGUUAGCGGCGGACGGGUGAGUAACACGUGGAUAACCUACCUAUAAGACUGGGAUGACUUCGGGAAACCGGAGCUAAUACCGGAUAAUAUUAUGAACCGCAUGGUUCAAAAGUGAAAGACGGUCUUGCUGUCACUUAUAGAUGGAUCCGCGCUGCAUUAGCUAGUUGGUAAGGUAACGGCUUACCAAGGCAACGAUGCAUAGCCGACCUGAGAGGGUGAUCGGCCACACUGGAACUGAGACACGGUCCAGACUCCUACGGGAGGCAGCAGUAGGGAAUCUUCCGCAAUGGGCGAAAGCCUGACGGAGCAACGCCGCGUGAGUGAUGAAGGUCUUCGGAUCGUAAAACUCUGUUAUUAGGGAAGAACAUAUGUGUAAGUAACUGUGCACAUCUUGACGGUACCUAAUCAGAAAGCCACGGCUAACUACGUG